Caerostris extrusa is the source of this 112-nucleotide non-coding RNA. NCBI's taxonomy places the organism in Eukaryota, Metazoa, Arthropoda, Arachnida, Araneae, Araneidae. The record is from the annotation of a GenBank genome assembly.
CAGCCAUACCAUGCUGAAUAUAUACCGGUUCUCGUUCGAUCACCGAUGUCAAGCAUCAUCGUGCGCGGUCAGUACUUGGGAGGGUGACCACCUGGGAACCCCGCGUGCCGUU